UACGGGGGGGGCAAGCGUUGUUCGGAAUUACUGGGCGUAAAGGGCUCGUAGGUGGCCAACUAAGUCAGACGUGAAAUCCCUCAGCUUAACUGGGGAACUGCGUCUGAUACUGGAUGGCUUGAGUUUGGGAGAGGGAUGCGGAAUUCCAGGUGUAGCGGUGAAAUGCGUAGAUAUCUGGAGGAACACCGGUGGCGAAGGCGGCAUCCUGGACCAACACUGACACUGAGGAGCGAAAGCCAUGGGAGCAAACUGG
RNAcentral lists this ribosomal RNA (253 nucleotides) under uncultured bacterium. Its description in RNAcentral is "partial 16S ribosomal RNA". It matches the Rfam family "Bacterial small subunit ribosomal RNA", at positions 524 to 776 of the family's 1533-position model. The record is from RNAcentral.